ACAAGAUUAGCAUGUUUGGUUGUGUAUUGUUUCUUUUGUUUCUGGUUGUAAUAGGAUUAGUAUUGGCAACAGUGUUUGGUUGUGUAUUGUAAGGAAAGGUUCAUAAGGACAGUUUGGUUGUGUAGAUUUUGGCUAAGUUUUUUUUUUUUCUUUUUUCUUUUUUCUUUUUGUGCUUAAGUUGUGUGGAUGUGCAGAAAUAUAAUGUAUUAGAAUUUUUUAGCAUAUUGUUAGCCAUUGCAUAUUGUUGGCAGUUUUGUUAGCAUAUUAUUAGGCAAAACAUUGUGUACAAGAUUGGCAUAUUUGUUAGCAUUUUUGUUAGCCAUUUUUGUGACUGUUUAUUAGGCAAGGCAUUAUAUUUGAAACUUGAAAAUUUUGAAUUCUAUGCAGGGAGAUGCAAGAUGUAAAUUUUUUAUAUGGGCAGAUAUAUUGCACUUAGUAGAGGGAAAUAUUUUAAAGAAAGAAUGUU
Long non-coding RNA from Juglans microcarpa x Juglans regia, 466 nucleotides. RefSeq lists it as uncharacterized. NCBI's taxonomy places the organism in Eukaryota, Viridiplantae, Streptophyta, Magnoliopsida, Fagales, Juglandaceae. The transcript has 3 exons. The record is from RefSeq and is a predicted model, not a curated record.